Molecule: ribosomal RNA, 253 nt
Filed under: uncultured bacterium
Lineage: Bacteria
Description: partial 16S ribosomal RNA
Rfam family: Bacterial small subunit ribosomal RNA
Source: RNAcentral
UACGGAGGGUCCGAGCGUUAAUCGGAAUUACUGGGCGUAAAGCGUGCGCAGGCGGUUUGUUAAGCAAGAUGUGAAAGCCCCGGGCUCAACCUGGGAAUUGCAUUUCGAACUGGCAAACUAGAGUCUUGUAGAGGGGGGUAGAAUUCCAGGUGUAGCGGUGAAAUGCGUAGAGAUCUGGAGGAAUACCGGUGGCGAAGGCGGCCCCCUGGACAAAGACUGACGCUCAGGCACGAAAGCGUGGGGAGCAAACAGG